CCUACGGGUGGCAGCAGUGGGGAAUAUUGCGCAAUGGGCGAAAGCCUGACGCAGCAACGCCGCGUGCGGGAUGAAGGCCUUCGGGUUGUAAACCGCUUUCAGCAGGGAAGAAGCCGCAAGGUGACGGUACCUGCAGAAGAAGCACCGGCUAACUACGUGCCAGCAGCCGCGGUAAUACGUAGGGUGCAAGCGUUGUCCGGAUUUAUUGGGCGUAAAGAGCUCGUAGGCGGUUUGUUACGUCGGUUGUGAAAAUCCGGGGCUUAACCCCGGACCUGCAUCCGAUACGGGCAGACUUGAGUGUGGUAGGGGAGACUGGAAUUCCUGGUGUAGCGGUGAAAUGCGCAGAUAUCAGGAGGAACACCGAUGGCGAAGGCAGGUCUCUGGGCCACAACUGACGCUGAGGAGCGAAAGCGUGGGGAGCAAACAGGAUUAGAUACCCUAGUAGUC
This 447-nucleotide ribosomal RNA is filed under the name uncultured bacterium. Its description in RNAcentral is "bacterial SSU rRNA". It matches the Rfam family "Bacterial small subunit ribosomal RNA", at positions 338 to 795 of the family's 1533-position model. The record is from RNAcentral.